AUUGAACGCUGGCGGCAGGCCUAACACAUGCAAGUCGAACGAGUGGCGGACGGGUGAGUAAUGUCUGGGAAACUGGCUUAUGGAGGGGGAUAACUACUGGAAACUGUAGCUAAUACCGCGUACCAUCGGAUGUGCCCAAGUGGGAUUAGGUAGUUGGUGGGGUAAAGGCUCACCAAGCCGACGAUCCCUAGCUGGUCUGAGAGGAUGACCAGCCACACUGGGACUGAGACACGGCCCAGACUCCUACGGGAGGCAGCAGUGGGGAAUAUUGCGCAAUGGGGGCAAGCCUGACGCAGCCAUGCCGCGUGAAUGAAGAAGGCCUUCGGGUUGUAAAGUUCUUUCGGUAGCGAGGCGUUAACUACAGAAGAAGCACCGGCUAACUCCGUGCCAGCAGCCGCGGUAAUAC
Molecule: ribosomal RNA, 406 nt
Filed under: uncultured bacterium
Lineage: Bacteria
Description: partial 16S ribosomal RNA
Rfam family: Bacterial small subunit ribosomal RNA
Source: RNAcentral